Paramuricea clavata is the source of this 89-nucleotide non-coding RNA. The record is from the annotation of a GenBank genome assembly. NCBI's taxonomy places the organism in Eukaryota, Metazoa, Cnidaria, Anthozoa, Malacalcyonacea, Plexauridae.
UACCACCUGGCUACCUGUAUAACAUAAAGUAUUUACAAAUUUCAAAAAAAAUUGUAAAUACUUUAUGUUAUACAGGUAGCCAGGUGGUA